This 486-nucleotide ribosomal RNA is filed under the name uncultured bacterium. RNAcentral's name for it is "partial 16S ribosomal RNA". It matches the Rfam family "Bacterial small subunit ribosomal RNA", at positions 30 to 507 of the family's 1533-position model. The record is from RNAcentral.
AUUGAACGCUGGCGGCAUGCCUUACACAUGCAAGUCGAACGGCAGCACGGGUGCUUGCCCCUGGUGGCGAGUGGCGAACGGGUGAGUAAUACAUCGGAACAUGUCCUGUAGUGGGGGAUAGCCCGGCGAAAGCCGGAUUAAUACCGCAUACGAUCUACGGAUGAAAGCGGGGGACCUUCUGGCCUCGCGCUAUAGGGUCGGCCGAUGGCUGAUUAGCUAGUUGGUGGGGUAAAGGCCUACCAAGGCGACGAUCAGUAGCUGGUCUGAGAGGACGACCAGCCACACUGGAACUGAGACACGGCCCAGACUCCUACGGGAGGCAGCAGUGGGGAAUUUUGGACAAUGGGCGAAAGCCUGAUCCAGCAAUGCCGCGUGUGUGAAGAAGGCCUUCGGGUUGUAAAGCACUUUUGUCCGGAAAGAAAACCUUGGCCCUAAUACGGUCGGGGGAUGACGGUACCGGAAGAAUAAGCACCGGCUAACUACGUG